This 1051-nucleotide ribosomal RNA is filed under the name Salmonella enterica subsp. enterica serovar Enteritidis. Its description in RNAcentral is "partial 23S ribosomal RNA". It matches the Rfam family "Bacterial large subunit ribosomal RNA", at positions 161 to 1252 of the family's 2925-position model. The record is from RNAcentral. Lineage: Bacteria; Pseudomonadati; Pseudomonadota; Gammaproteobacteria; Enterobacterales; Enterobacteriaceae.
AAUCCAUAGGUUAAUGAGGCGAACCGGGGGAACUGAAACAUCUAAGUACCCCGAGGAAAAGAAAUCAACCGAGAUUCCCCCAGUAGCGGCGAGCGAACGGGGAGGAGCCCAGAGCCUGAAUCAGCAUGUGUGUUAGUGGAAGCGUCUGGAAAGGCGCGCGAUACAGGGUGACAGCCCCGUACACAAAAGCGCAUGUGCUGUGAGCUCGAUGAGUAGGGCGGGACACGUGGUAUCCUGUCUGAAUAUGGGGGGACCAUCCUCCAAGGCUAAAUACUCCUGACUGACCGAUAGUGAACCAGUACCGUGAGGGAAAGGCGAAAAGAACCCCGGCGAGGGGAGUGAAAAAGAACCUGAAACCGUGUACGUACAAGCAGUGGGAGCACCCUUUGGGUGUGACUGCGUACCUUUUGUAUAAUGGGUCAGCGACUUAUAUUCUGUAGCAAGGUUAACCGAAUAGGGGAGCCGGAGGGAAACCGAGUCUUAACCGGGCGUUAAGUUGCAGGGUAUAGACCCGAAACCCGGUGAUCUAGCCAUGGGCAGGUUGAAGGUUGGGUAACACUAACUGGAGGACCGAACCGACUAAUGUUGAAAAAUUAGCGGAUGACCUGUGGCUGGGGGUGAAAGGCCAAUCAAACCGGGAGAUAGCUGGUUCUCCCCGAAAGCUAUUUAGGUAGCGCCUCGUGAAUUCAUCUCCGGGGGUAGAGCACUGUUUCGGCUAGGGGGCCAUCCCGGCUUACCAACCCGAUGCAAACUGCGAAUACCGGAGAAUGUUAUCACGGGAGACACACGGCGGGUGCUAACGUCCGUCGUGAAGAGGGAAACAACCCAGACCGCCAGCUAAGGUCCCAAAGUCAUGGUUAAGUGGGAAACGAUGUGGGAAGGCCCAGACAGCCAGGAUGUUGGCUUAGAAGCAGCCAUCAUUUAAAGAAAGCGUAAUAGCUCACUGGUCGAGUCGGCCUGCGCGGAAGAUGUAACGGGGCUAAACCAUGCACCGAAGCUGCGGCAGCGACACUGUGUGUUGUUGGGUAGGGGAGCGUUCUGUAAGCCUGUG